UGAAAAUGGACUCGACCCAGUAAUUUUAAAAGAAACACAUAGCUUAGGAACUUGGUAGUUGAUGAGAGUAUAGCAGUUGAGAGUAGGCCCAAUUAAUGAAAGUGCCCCAGGCCUGGUAGAUGUGUUUGGAAUCAUCAUCGUCUUCAUCGAUGCAAUUGUAAAUGUUGAAAGUCAAGAGUUUACGAACCACAACUGCAUCAUCACCGAACAUGCACGCGGAUUUGAAGACCUAAAGCUCUGAAUGCGGUUCCUGAUUUGUUUGUCAAUAACCCCGAUCAAGGAGUCCGUUGUUCUGAAGAUGUGUUGAUGGUGCCUCUUAUUACGCUCAUUCCAAAGCCAAUAUACGGUUGCUUGGAUUGCCAUUAGAGUGAUGGGAAUUGACAGCGAAGAGUGAUCGCCCUCCACACAGUUUCACUAUAGCAGCACUGGAAGAAGAGAUGGUCACGACUUUCUGGUUGAGAGUUACAAAGGAGACAGAUAGGGUUUACUCCAAGAAGACCCCAACGAAGUAACCUGACAACGAUCAAGAACCACAAGCCACGUAAGGAAACUGUGUCGGGGAAUUCCCAUAGGGCACCAGUCAACUGCCGACCAGGGGACCGAAGGUUUCGGACCUUGAAUGGGGAAGGAGCCAUCGACCGCCUUGAUGGAGUGAUCCAAGUGUUGCAGCUUUUGGGAUGCCAAGUCUCGAAGUUGAAGCUUUCAAAAGUUCGUUGAGGUUACCAAACAGUGACCAAUUAUCAAACCAGAAGCUUGAGGAGAGACCAUUACCAAUACGUCGCUUGAUCAGUGGGUAGAUGAGUUUUCUAGAUUUGAUGAGCUUGUUCGCGAGCCAGGAGUGAGAGGUACUUGUUUUGACAGACCAGUAGUUGCUAAGGGAUCCUUUAAGAAUAACCUCCUUGAACCAACAGACCCAGACAUAGUCUGGUCGGAAGAAGAGCAACCAGAUUAGCUUCAGGAUGCAAGCUCUGUUCCAAGAGUGGAGGUCUUUGAUCCCUAAGCCGCCUUGCUCUUUUGCCUUAGGGAGGAUAAAGGAGGAGCACCAGAAGGUUGUGAUUCCUGCUAUGACGGUUUUGUUGAGAAGCAACCUUCCCGAGAAAGAGAGAGAUUUUGCAGACCAGGAGGAGAAUCUAGCUUUGAUUUGUUGCAGUAGAGGCUCACAGUUGAGGAGGGUCAGCUUCUUUUUGACCAUCGGAACCCCCAGAUACUUCAUCGGCAAGGAUUUGAAGGACUCUCUGCACUGGUUCUAUGGAACCGUCAAUGAAGAUAAGAAGAUCAUCCGCAAAGGAGAGAUGUGUGAGCUUGGUCUUGCCACAGUUGUGGUGAUAAGAGAGGGUUCCCAUUCUUGCUUCCUGGUUUAGCAUCAUAGACAAGCAGUUCAUGGCGAUGACAAAGAGACACAAGCUCUAAGGAGAUUGACGAGAGGAGGAGAGAUUGAAACUGAUUAGAGCAGCGAAGAGAAAGUCCCACGAGAGGGUAUCAAAUGCCUUUGCGAUAUCCACCUUGAUGGUAAUCCUUCUUGGUCCCUUGUUCUUAUGAUAUCCGUUGACCAACUCACUUGCAAGAACUGUAUUUUCAAGUAAGAGUCUGCCCUCCACAAAGGCUGUUUGGUUUGGUAGUAUUAGAUUUGAGAGAAUAGGCUUUAACCUGCGAACCAAUAGCCUAGAGAUAACCUUGUAGAUAGUAUUCAGACAUGAGAUAGGCCUGUAAUCUGUUAUCCUUGAUGCACCAGGAUAAAAGAAACUUUGAAAACAAAACUUUGCCACCUCAGUUCAAAACUUUUAUUUGGAGCUUUAUAGAAAACAUGCGUUACGGGUGAUACGUGCAUAUUUAUCUAUAUAACAAAUUCUUGUUGAAAAAUAAAUAUACAACAAAAAAUUGUUUUGUCAAAUAGUAUUGUUAUUUUGUUAUUUAUAGGAAAGAGUAUAAACUGGACUAACGGUGGUUCAGAGCAUUUCCAAAAGAUACUUUAUAACUUCAAAUAUGAAGUUUUUUGCUCUUCAAAAACAAACUUUAAAAAAUUCUAUAUUUGAAAUUUCACUAAUCAAAACUUGAAAUUUGAAGUUUCAUAUUUUUAUUUGCAUUAUGGUCUCUAUAAUCACACAUCACCUUUAUGAUUCAUAA
Molecule: long non-coding RNA, 2124 nt
Organism: Brassica oleracea var. oleracea
Lineage: Eukaryota; Viridiplantae; Streptophyta; Magnoliopsida; Brassicales; Brassicaceae
Exons: 6
Source: RefSeq, a predicted model, not a curated record